RNAcentral lists this ribosomal RNA (462 nucleotides) under uncultured bacterium. RNAcentral describes it as "partial 16S ribosomal RNA". It matches the Rfam family "Bacterial small subunit ribosomal RNA", at positions 28 to 507 of the family's 1533-position model. The record is from RNAcentral.
GAUAAACGCUGGCGGCGUGCUUAACACAUGCAAGCCGAACGAAGUUUUUCCUUCGGGAGAAACUUAGUGGCGGACGGGUGAGUAACGCGUGGGUAACCUGCCCUGUACAGGGGGACAACAGCUGGAAACGGCUGCUAAUACCGCAUAAGCACUUAGCACUGCAUGGUGCAUAGGGAAAAGGAGCAAUCCGGUACAGGAUGGACCCGCGUCUGAUUAGCCAGUUGGCAGGGUAACGGCCUACCAAAGCGACGAUCAGUAGCCGAUCUGAGAGGAUGUACGGCCACAUUGGGACUGAGACACGGCCCAGACUCCUACGGGAGGCAGCAGUGGGGAAUAUUGCACAAUGGAGGAAACUCUGAUGCAGCGACGCCGCGUGAGUGAAGAAGUAUUUCGGUAUGUAAAGCUCUAUCAGCAGGGAAGAAAAUGACGGUACCUGACUAAGAAGCACCGGCUAAAUACGUG